ACACUGUUGUGGUUUUACAUAGACUUCAUCAAACAUCUUAAUCCCAUUCCACAACCCGAACAAGGGGUCCAACAACGUUCUUAAUAUUGAAAUUAGGGUGCUCCCACUCCACUGCUUCCCACCAAUCUAAUGGACGCACUUGGAUUCUCUGGAGAGAUUUAGAAGGAGAUAGUUCUCCUUCAUCAUCAAUCUCAAGCUGUGGAAGAUAUAGAGGAAUCCGCUUUAGCUUUGGACAAUCACUUAUUGUAAUGGAUCGGAGAGAAUCACAAACCAUUACUCCAUUUUCACUACAAAUGCGCUGCAAUUGUACUAGCCUCCACAAUUCUAACCUCCUCAGUUUGGGGAAAGGGAAUUUGAUGGUUUCAUUAUUGGAACCCAAUCUUUUUUUUCUAGGAUUCUGUUAUUAUUUCUUCCAAAUCACUAUAAUGCCUAACAUCCAUCACUUCCAGGUGUUGUUCCAAUAGGGUCGGAAGCGUGUAAAUUAUUGUACAUGUUCGGUAAAUUAUACCUACGUCCUCGGGCACUAACACCAGAUGAUAAUUUUACUAUCUUCAAAAUAUUACAAACAAAUAGAAUUCCUUAAGAAUUCUCAAAUGGGAGAAGAAAGAAAACUAAGAGAGAAAGAUUGGUUGGGAUGGUGUAAAUGAGAAAUGGUUAGGUUUAUUUAUAGUUGAGGUUCAGGGAUUAACUUGUAAAUGGCCUAAAAAAUUAGGGACCAAAAUUGCAAUUAUCCCAUUCAACUUUAAACAACUUGCCUAUCAUUCUUUCCUUUCGGUGCCACUUGCACCUCCCAUUUUUUUGACUUUUCAACACCCCUUUUAAUUUGACUUUUCAACACCAGGUUGCUUAGAACCCAAUCAGCUGAAAACAAUUUCUUAAUUUUGUCGCAAUUCCAUAGAGUGAUCUCUUUGAGGGAGGAAAAUCUGCCGACUGAUGAUUCUCCAGCUCCAACUUCAACUAUGACUUUCAAAUUCUCUAACUCAAUUAGAUCCAGAGACUCGAGUUUUUGAAGCUGAUCACUGUGGGAUGAAAUUACAGAUUCCAACUCACUACAACCACGAAGUUCACAUUUUUUCAAAUCAGUUGCAUCCCUCAAUCCAAUAUCGUUUAUACUUCUCACACCCCUGCACUCUAGUAGACUUAAUUCCUUGAUGCCGUAUGGAAGUAUAAUUUCAUCUCCAACAUCAAUUUUAAUCCCUUUAAAUCUAACAACAUUACUAAAUACCAGGGGACGAACAGAGGUGAUUUCAGAAACCAAAAUGGAGAGUUUAUAAAGCGUUUUUCUCUUACUUGCAAACGUGUUCAAGCCACACACGUUAUGGAACCAGUCCUCAAAAACCUCCAACUUAUUCAAUUCCCUCAACUCUUCUGCGCUUUCCAAUUUAAAAUGAACUGCCCAAUACUGAAGCCGGCAUAGUUUUGAGAGUGUUCCAGUAGGAAUCCCCGUUAGACGAAUGGUACGUUUAAGAUUGAGAUAUCUAAGAUUCACCAACAUUUCCAAACCUUGAGGGAUUUUCUCGAUUCCACUGCCU
Molecule: long non-coding RNA, 1532 nt
Filed under: Gossypium barbadense (sea-island cotton)
Lineage: Eukaryota; Viridiplantae; Streptophyta; Magnoliopsida; Malvales; Malvaceae
Description: long non-coding RNA (GBAR_LNC009655)
Source: RNAcentral